AACGAACGCUGGCGGCAUGCCUAACACAUGCAAGUCGAACGAGACCUUCGGGUCUAGUGGCGCACGGGUGCGUAACGCGUGGGAACCUGCCCUUAGGUUCGGCAUAACUCCCCGACAGGGGUGCUAAUACCGGAUCAUGUCUUCGGACCAAAGAUUUAUCGCCUUUGGAUGGGCCCGCGUUGGAUUAGCUAGUUGGUAGGGUAAAAGCCUACCAAGGCGACGAUCCAUAGCUGGUCUGAGAGGAUGAUCAGCCACACUGGGACUGAGACACGGCCCAGACUCCUACGGGAGGCAGCAGUGGGGAAUAUUGGACAAUGGGCGAAAGCCUGAUCCAGCAAUGCCGCGUGAGUGAUGAAGGCCUUAGGGGUGUAAAGCUCUUUGACCCGGGAUGAUAAUGACAGUACCGGGAGAAUAAGCUCCGGCUAACUCCGUG
This 433-nucleotide ribosomal RNA is filed under the name uncultured bacterium. RNAcentral describes it as "partial 16S ribosomal RNA". It matches the Rfam family "Bacterial small subunit ribosomal RNA", at positions 29 to 507 of the family's 1533-position model. The record is from RNAcentral.